UGUUAAGAAUUACUGUUUUCUCAAAAAUAUCAUAACUACAACGACAAUUUGCGAAUCUGACACAAUUUUUCCUAAAUGUUGUCAAUUUACCAAAACGUGAACAGGCCCUUUUAAGACUAUAAUGUACUCGCUUUCUCUAUUCCCAAAUGUCACUUCGUGCCUUAACUCUAAAACAUCAUUAAAAUAUAGGGUGGGUCAAUUCGAUGGGAUAUCAGAUCCGUCGUUGACAGCUUUUGUUUUGAUACCCUUGCUAGAAUGCACAGACCUAACAGAUUUAUUAUAAUAUUAUUACAUUAAUUUGCUAUAUGAUUUGCCAUGCAACAUCAUUAUCGAGAUGUGAUUAGAAACUCUCAUCUUAAUUAAGUAAUUGUUACAAUAUGUUGACCACAAAGACACAAAUGUAAUUAUACAGCUGCGCAUUACACAGUAGCCUGGUUAUGUCUGGUUUAUACUAAAACAUACAACUUACGUUACAUAUUGCAUUUUUAGGAGAUCAUUGUGUCCAUCUACCGAGCGAUUACGGCACUUGAGGCAUUGCCUGUGUUUAUUUGGAAAAACAAUCCAUAUCUUUUGGGAAUAUCGACAUACCUUUAGCACUAUCUAGCGCAAAGAAACAUGAUUUAAGAAAGGAACUCUUCAAACUCGACCGAAACGACGAAGGUCGUCUGCAUUGGUCAAGUAGCUGUACUGCGGACUCGUAUGCAGAAGAAGCGACGGCAUUUGCCCACCUUGCGUUCCUGAUAUUUGAUGACUUUCAGACAAGCCACAAGAUUGUGGCAUGGUUGACGAAACAUCGCGAUGCAGUUGGAAAAUGGCGUUCAUUGCAAGCUACUGUGGUUGCUAUGCAAGCCCUAGGGACAUACAGCGCUCGCGCGUAUAAUCAAGAUGUCGACUUCACAGUUAAAAUUGGAAAGGAAGGUUGGAAAAAUAUUGCAUACGUAAACAGAGAAAAUGCCCGUCUUCAGA
Molecule: long non-coding RNA, 966 nt
Organism: Dreissena polymorpha
Lineage: Eukaryota; Metazoa; Mollusca; Bivalvia; Myida; Dreissenidae
Exons: 3
Source: RefSeq, a predicted model, not a curated record